UCAGCAAUUUUUCACUUCUAUUUAUUCUCUUUUAUAACUAUCCUAAACAGACAACUUUUUUCUUUAUCUCUGCAUAUUUUCUUUACAAAUAUCUGAAACAGAGACCACCUUUUUACUUAUACUAUACGUUCUUGGCUGUUGCAAGACAUUUUUCCCUAUUUUUGAAAUAUUACUCCAUAUUCUGUAAUGCUAAGUUGGAAUGGUGUAUACGGGGAGAUUAAUGUCUUAGGCGGUGGGAUGUGGAGAUGAGGCCUUAUAAAUGCAUGGAUGAUUGAUAUUGAUAUUAUCAGAUCAGAAUGUUAAUUCACAAAGGAGGUAAGUAACUAGAUGGUUAUCCAUUAAUGUGGACGUGUAAACUUGGUACUCAAACCUUCAUAAUUAAGUCCCAAAUAUAUCUAUGAUGACUUUUAAAGUACUAAAGGGAAUUACAUUUUAAACAUAAAUUAUGAAAACAAUUUUUCUUUGGAAGAUAGUUUGGUGGGUGCUUGAAGUGUGGAAACCACAUUUUUUAUAACUAUAUAGAAAGAGAAAAUAAUAAAGUAAGUAAAAAUUAUACUGUGCACCCUACGGUUUUAUGAAAAUACAGGAAGUACCCCCCACAUUUCAUAAAUUAUGGACGGACAUUAGUGAAUGCCCUUUAAAUAGUAAUUUUUAUUUAUUUGCAGAUAUUUUUACCUAGAUUAAACGACCAAGUUGCCCACAAGAUAAACCUUCAGAAAUCCUAAAGAAAACCUGCACGUGAAAUGGACAAGUGUAAUUAAACCUUCAUGAAAAACUUUUAACAAAAACCAAAUUUCAAAUUUCAAUGGACAAAACUCCAACCAACUAAACGUAAAAAUUCUUCAAAGCACAUAUAAACAAACAGAGAAUCAGAGACAACUUUCAACAUUAAAAAUACAAACCUAGAUUCAUUUUCCAAGCAAACAGAAAAAAAAACACAUAAUAUAUUUAUGCAACCUAGAAGCAGAAGGAGCUAUAUUUAUGCAACCAGAGCUGCAAAACAAAGCAGGAAGAUAAGUCCAAUCAUUGCCUGUGUAUAAUAAGGAACAAUUAAAAUAGACCAUCAACAAUGCAGCUCGCCAUAAUAUAUUUAGAGUUUGCCUUUGCUUGUAUUUUCUGUAAACAAAUAACAGAUCAAUCUAGAAGGUCCAAAGAUCUUAUUGAGAAUCAAAGUGAUGAAAAAUCCAGAAAGAGAAAAAAAAACUAAAGGCCUGUUUACUUGAGAAUGUUUUCUGUUUUCCAUCUCUAGUUUUCAUCUGUGUUUCUAAGUUUCCAUUUUUACAGAAAAUUAGAAAAAAGGGUAAAUGCUUUCAUUUAUGUUAAAUAUGAAACUAAUUUUAGACUCUAGAAAACGAGAGAAUAUGUUUAAGAUCAUGUUAUUUUCUACUUGAACUAAAACUGAGAAUAAACUAACAUUGAUUUAUCCUUAUAUUUUAUUAUUUUUUGUCCAUUUUUCAAAACUAUUUAUUGUAUUUAAGUAAAUGAUAACUCUAAAAUUAAAGAAAUAUUAUAAAAUUUGGUGUUAACCUAAGGUUCUUUAGAAUUGAAUCUUUAGAUGAAUUAUUGCCUCUCUCAACCAUAUAUACCCUCACGGAUUGUUAAUGAAGAAAUAACAGAAACUGAACAACAGAAUGAUAAAUUGAAUUAGAAAUAGGAACAAGAAAUCAAACCACCCAACUGAGCACUGGUUUAUCCUGAUUCAGAUUGCCCCUGAGGACAACCCUACAUCUAGCCUUAGAAUCCUCCCGAGAGCAGCCUUACUUUAUUGAAAACAGAUAAGUACAACAAUAUCCGAGUACACCCUCAAUCGCUUACCAUGAUUACAAAGGAUUGUCUCUUCUUUCUGGCCUUUCCUCUCAUAACAAAACAGAAGCAAUACUCUCAUAGAAAAUGAAUUUUGUCUCUCGGCUAACCCGCUGCCUCCUUAUUUAUAGACUAAGAGGGCGGACAUCCCAAUAUAAUUACCGGAAUUAGAUAUUACCAGUUUAACCCCCAAACUUAACUAAAUUACAGUUGGAACCAAAUUAAAACUGCCUAUCUAAACAUUAGCUGAUUAUUACAAUUGCCUUCACUGAUCUUUUAGGAACUGACUUGAGGUAAACUUAUCACAUUUGGUAAUUAAAAUAUAAUGUAAUUAUAGAUAUCAUCAUAUAGAGCAUGUCAUUCAAAAAAUAGUAUUUCUUAACCAAAUAAUAUUAAGACUACCUAGUUGCCACACUAACGAUUGUUGUAGUCAUUCCAUAAUUGGCCUGCAAUGGUUCUCUCUAACAAUGCUUAUUUGUUGUUGUUGAGACAUAUCUGUCAAAAAACCUUCUUGGCCCAUUUGAUGAGGUAUCUCCAAACCUUCUCUUCCAUAAAGUGUAAAUAAAUUGUCAGCUCUAUCUUCUUGCCAAAUAAAAUUAUGAAGUGCACUGUAGAAGAUAAAUAAUUUCUGUUUAUUUUACAGUUGUUGUAAAUUCUUGUUAGAAUACUACUUGUGUGCUAUGGUUAGGAUACUGGUAGAUUGUUUUAAUUCUGUUGUUGCAAUUAGUUUGUUGUAACUUGCUGCAACUUGCAAGUUGUUUGUUAACAAGGAUUAGCUGAAUAUAAAUACUCGGCUAAUUCUUAUUUCUGUCAUUUUUGAGAAAGACAUUAUCAUUCAGAAAAAAUUUCUCUCAUUUUCUUGUGUUUCCUCUCAGUUUUCUUCUGUUUUUUGUCUUCAUUAUUACCUUGAACCUCUUGCUUCAUGGUAUCAGAGCCAUAGACCAAUGUCAAUGGUAGAAAAUCAAGACUAAUGUAGUUCUUAAUCUCUGCAUCGAUCUUGUUCUCUAUCAUCAGCAUUGCAGUCAAACUUUUCUGCAGUUGCAAAAGCUUUCAAUUUCAUUCCUAUCAAACUAGAUAGCAACAAUUACCUCUAUUGGAAGGCACAGAUCUUGGCGACUAUUAGAGCCUUCGAUCUGAUGCCGUUCAUCAACAAAUCCACACCUCUGGUGAAAUACAUUUUAGAUCUAGUUCUACUGAUUCGAAUGCAAAGGUUAUAAAUCCUGAUUAUCUUACUUGGAUUAGAUCAGAUCAACUUCUUCUUGGCUAGCUAUUUUCUACAAUUGAUAAGGAAGUUCUUGCACAAGUGAUUAUCUGUGAAUCAUCUGCUGAGGUGAAUCGAGCAAUAAGAAGGGAAAAUGAAUGACCGAAGCAUAGUUUAGUUUCAAUUCAUGAUGUUUCCUGUGUCUGAAGCAGUUUUACAUGUUAUUUCAUCUAUCGGAUAUUGUAAUUUAUUGGUUGUUGAGAGCAGUAGUGCUCAAUCGUGUUUGUAUGAAAUUACGAUAUCUUUCAGGUUU
Molecule: long non-coding RNA, 3317 nt
Organism: Diospyros lotus (date-plum)
Lineage: Eukaryota; Viridiplantae; Streptophyta; Magnoliopsida; Ericales; Ebenaceae
Exons: 2
Source: RefSeq, a predicted model, not a curated record